Molecule: ribosomal RNA, 446 nt
Filed under: uncultured bacterium
Lineage: Bacteria
Description: bacterial SSU rRNA
Rfam family: Bacterial small subunit ribosomal RNA
Source: RNAcentral
UUCCAGACUCCUACGGGAGGCAGCAGUGGGGAAUAUUGCACAAUGGGGGGAACCCUGAUGCAGCGACGCCGCGUGAGUGAAGAAGUAUCUCGGUACGUAAAGCUCUAUCAGCAGGGAAGAAAAUGACGGUACCUGACUAAGAAGCCCCGGCUAACUACGUGCCAGCAGCCGCGGUAAUACGUAGGGGGCAAGCGUUAUCCGGAUUUACUGGGUGUAAAGGGGGCGCAGACGGCGAUGCAAGCCAGGAGUGAAAGCCCGGGGCCCAACCCCGGGACUGCUCUUGGAACUGCGUGGCUGGAGUGCAGGAGGGGCAGGCGGAAUUCCUGGUGUAGCGGUGAAAUGCGUAGAUAUCAGGAGGAACACCGGUGGCGAAGGCGGCCUGCUGGACUGCAACUGACGUUGAGGCCCGAAAGCGUGGGGAGCAAACAGGAUUAGAUACCCUGGUA